Molecule: long non-coding RNA, 884 nt
Filed under: Homo sapiens (human)
Lineage: Eukaryota; Metazoa; Chordata; Mammalia; Primates; Hominidae
Description: HSALNT0396060
Source: RNAcentral
AUCCCUGCGCCCCGCCCCCGGCCAGCCUCAGCCUGGCCCCGCCCACUCGCUCUCCUCGGCUCCUGAGUGGUCCGAAGCGACGCGGGCCCGCCCUUCUCAACGCCCUUUAGCGAGCGCCAAAAAACUCCCGACCCCUUCUUGGCGCGCGUCGCCGCAGAGCCCACCCAGGCGGGAUAGAGCUUAUGGAUUGGCUAAUGCCGCAGCAACUCCCGCCUGCCUGAGCUGUUCCCGGAGGUCCGCAAGCCCCCAGCCCUCCCAUGCGGAAGAGUCUGGCUGGUGCAGAGGGCUCAACUUUUCCCUAGGCUCUGGACCCAAAGGCCUUCCACGUCCUUUGGAACCUGCUUACUUCCUUUAUUCCCUCGCAGUCUGGCUCCUUCCUCCAUCCUGGGUGACCAGUGGGUGCCGACAUUGACAUUCAUAUAAGAACACGGAGGAGGUGCAGGUGGGAGGAGAUGGGCUCAGUUUUAGCCAACUUAAAAUAGAGUCUGCAGAGCCCGUGGGACACAGGGGAGGUAUUUGGGGACCCAGAGUUGGGGAACUGUGGGUAGAUAUGGGAGUUGAAGACACUGACAGCAAAGGGUGCAACUACAGUUCACCUAGCAUAGAACCCUAUGUGACCGUUAAAAAGAAUGAGGCUCAGUGAAGUGAACUCAUAGGGAAACCUGCCCACAACAAAUUAGACGCAGGAUGCAGUAGAAGGCUAAGAGAAGUCUGGAGCCAGACUUGGGUUUAAAGCCUGGGACUGACACUUGCUAUGCGACCUUGAACUGAUUACUUAACGUUACUCUGUACUUCGGUUUCCCAAUCUGCAAAGCGGGGAUAAGCAAUUACAUCCUUCUGUUUGAUGUGAACAUUAAAUAAAUUAAUCCACAUAAAGCACUCAA